This 68-nucleotide transfer RNA is filed under the name Lepisosteus oculatus (spotted gar). It matches the Rfam family "tRNA". Rfam says of the family: Transfer RNA (tRNA) molecules are approximately 80 nucleotides in length. Their secondary structure includes four short double-helical elements and three loops (D, anti-codon, and T loops). Lineage: Eukaryota; Metazoa; Chordata; Actinopteri; Semionotiformes; Lepisosteidae. The record is from Rfam by way of RNAcentral.
GGCGCGGUGGCCAAGUGGUAAGGCGUUCUGUAACCCAAAGAUCGUGGAUUCAAACCCCACCUGUUUCG